Molecule: ribosomal RNA, 503 nt
Filed under: uncultured bacterium
Lineage: Bacteria
Description: bacterial SSU rRNA
Rfam family: Bacterial small subunit ribosomal RNA
Source: RNAcentral
GAUGAACGCUAGCGGCAGGCUUAAUACAUGCAAGUCGUGGGGCAGCAGGUUUGUAGCAAUACAGAUGCUGGCGACCGGCAAACGGGUGCGGAACACGUACAGAACCUUCCUUUGAGCGGGGAAUAGCCCAGAGAAAUUUGGAUUAAUACCCCAUAGUAUAAUGAAGUGGCAUCACUUUAUUAUUAAAGAUUUAUCACUCGAAGAUGGCUGUGCGGCUGAUUAGGUAGUUGGCGGGGUAAAGGCCCACCAAGCCUGCGAUCAGUAACUGGUGUGAGAGCACGACCAGUCACACGGGCACUGAGACACGGGCCCGACUCCUACGGGAGGCAGCAGUAAGGAAUAUUGGUCAUUGGAGGCAACUCUGAACCAGCCAUGCCGCGUGGAGGAUGAAGGUCCUCUGGAUUGUAAACUUCUUUUAUAUGGGACGAAAAAAAGGCUUUUCUAAGUCGUCUGACGGUACCAUAUGAAUAAGCACCGGCUAACUCCGUGCCAGCAGCCGACGG